CACAUGCAGUCGAGCGGAGAUGAGGUGCUUGCACCUCUUAAUCUUAGCGGCGGACGGGUGAGUAAUGCUUAGGAAUCUGCCUAUUAGUGGGGGACAACAUUUCGAAAGGAAUGCUAAUACCGCAUACGCCCUACGGGGGAAAGCAGGGGAUCUUCGGACCUUGCGCUAAUAGAUGAGCCUAAGUCGGAUUAGCUAGUUGGUGGGGUAAAGGCCUACCAAGGCGACGAUCUGUAGCGGGUCUGAGAGGAUGAUCCGCCACACUGGGACUGAGACACGGCCCAGACUCCUACGGGAGGCAGCAGUGGGGAAUAUUGGACAAUGGGGGGAACCCUGAUCCAGCCAUGCCGCGUGUGUGAAGAAGGCCUUUUGGUUGUAAAGCACUUUAAGCGAGGAGGAGGAGCUCUAGAUUAAUACUCUAGAUGCUUGGACGUUACUCGCAGAAUAAGCACCGGCUAACUCUGUGCCAGCAGCCGCGGUAAUACAGAGGGUGCAAGCGUUAAUCGGAUUUACUGGGCGUAAAGCGUGCGUAGGUGGUCUUUUAAGUCGGAUGUGAAUCCCUGAGCUUAACUUAGGAAUUGCAUUCGAUACUGGGAGACUAGAGUAUGGGAGAGGAUGGUAGAAUUCCAGGUGUAGCGGUGAAAUGCGUAGAGAUCUGGAGGAAUACCGA
RNAcentral lists this ribosomal RNA (667 nucleotides) under bacterium het-w-31. RNAcentral's name for it is "bacterial SSU rRNA". It matches the Rfam family "Bacterial small subunit ribosomal RNA", at positions 52 to 712 of the family's 1533-position model. The record is from RNAcentral.